Molecule: ribosomal RNA, 253 nt
Filed under: uncultured bacterium
Lineage: Bacteria
Description: partial 16S ribosomal RNA
Rfam family: Bacterial small subunit ribosomal RNA
Source: RNAcentral
UACGUAGGGGGCGAGCGUUGUCCGGAUUUACUGGGCGUAAAGAGCGCGCAGGCGGUCGUUCAAGUCGCGUGUGAAAGCCCCCGGCUCAACUGGGGAGGGUCACGCGAUACUGAUCGACUCGAGGCCGGUAGGGGGAAGUGGAAUUCCCGGUGUAGUGGUGGAAUGCGUAGAUAUCGGGAGGAACACCAGUGGCGAAGGCGGCUUCCUGGACCGGUUCUGACACUGAGGAGCGAAAGCGUGGGGAGCGAUCCGG